GAUAUGCAAUUUUUCUGCUUUGCACUAUAUUUCAUUAAAUAUUGCUGUGGCUGGAUUCUGUAUAACAGAAAAAGACCAUAGAAGGUGUGGAAAAAACGUGGGUUGCUGUACCUAGUAGUCCCAGCCUCUGUCUUUUUUACCUCGUGGCCGUCAGAGUGACCGGCAGUGAAAAAAGAAGUCUGCUUGAGCUGACCCAGUUCUCUAAACAAGGUCAAGCCCAAAGUCAAAGCCUAGUGCAAGUGCCAAGUGCGGCUCAAAGUGACCAUUGAAUUUGAGUGGACGCGCCAGUUAUAUAUCGCCAAUACUGGGGCAGCCGUUCGACCAUUUGGAAACGAGCGCCCCCAGUGUAUCAACAUUUUUCGAAACAGUGGUGCAAUUCUGUUGAGGAUUAGCACCACUAGUAUCUACGUAUUGAAACGCUGGUCUAGAAGAUACGGAUUGGUUAUUCCCGGAGACCUCUUGGCCACGUGCCCGUACCACCGUUCGGUAGCCGAGGGCAUGGACUUGCUCCUCAAGUAAACCCGAUCGGUGUGCUCUGCAAUCUUCGCCUGGACACGUUCGACCCAUGGGGAUGAGCUGAGUGACUCUUCAAAUAAACCAGUCCCCCCCCACGAGCAAUCCAGUGGGCGAGGGUACCUAACCUCACGCCGCAGAUGGACCGCGGUCAUUGACCCCUGGCAUCGGAAGCAGCUGAUGUUACCUGCGCCCGGUACAAUCGUGUGCCACCUUCAGACCUCGAGUAGGAACUCGGUCUCCAGCCGGGAAGCAUCGAACCCGCAUCGGAUUUAGUUAUAUUCUCUAUCUUUCUUU
This is a long non-coding RNA of Drosophila pseudoobscura, 810 nucleotides long. RefSeq lists it as uncharacterized. NCBI's taxonomy places the organism in Eukaryota, Metazoa, Arthropoda, Insecta, Diptera, Drosophilidae. The transcript is spliced from 2 exons. The record is from RefSeq and is a predicted model, not a curated record.